GGAUAGCUCAGUCAGUAGAGCAUGAGACUCUUCAUCUUAUGGCUGUGGGUUCGAGCCUCAUGUUGGGCA
Non-coding RNA from Podarcis lilfordi (Lilford's wall lizard), 69 nucleotides. The record is from the annotation of a GenBank genome assembly. Lineage: Eukaryota; Metazoa; Chordata; Lepidosauria; Squamata; Lacertidae.